UAAGUAAGAUAUAUAAUCGCGGCCGCAGCAAUGCGGGUGAGGAAAGUCCGGACUUCGCAGGGCAGGAUGCCAGAUAACGUCUGGUGGAGGUGACUCCAAGGCUAGUGCAACAGAAAUAUACCGCCCGCUUUCGGAAACGAAAGUGCGAAAGAAGCCGCUUGCGGGUUCUUUCCGGCGCAGCACUUGUGCUUCGCCGUGGUCAGGGUGGAAAGGCAGUGUAAGAGACUACCGUCCGUCUGGUAACAGACGGAGCCAUGUAAACCCCAUCCGAAGCAAGACCAAAAAGAAAGCAACAGGCUUGCCCGGCCUGCUUUCAGGUGGGUCGCUGGAGACGGCUGGUGACAGCCGUAGUAGAUAGAUGAUUAUACAAGACAUAAUCCGGCUUAUCGUCUUGCUUACACU
This 402-nucleotide RNase P RNA is filed under the name Lachnospiraceae bacterium. RNAcentral describes it as "RNase P RNA component class A". It matches the Rfam family "Bacterial RNase P class A". From Rfam's summary of the family: Ribonuclease P (RNase P) is a ubiquitous endoribonuclease, found in archaea, bacteria and eukarya as well as chloroplasts and mitochondria. Its best characterised activity is the generation of mature 5'-ends of tRNAs by cleaving the 5'-leader elements of precursor-tRNAs. Lineage: Bacteria; Bacillati; Bacillota; Clostridia; Lachnospirales; Lachnospiraceae. The record is from RNAcentral.